GGUGCGUAAACUCCUUUUAUAUGAGAAGAUAAUGACGGUAUUAUAUGAAUAAGCACCGGCUAACUCCGUGCCAGCAGCCGCGGUAAUACGGGGGGUGCAAGCGUUACUCGGAAUCACUGGGCGUAAAGAGCAUGUAGGCGGAUUAAUAAGUUUGAAGUGAAAUCCUAUAGCUUAACUAUAGAACUGCUUUGAAAACUGUUAAUCUAGAAUGUGGGAGAGGUAGAUGGAAUUUCUGGUGUAGGGGUAAAAUCCGUAGAGAUCAGAAGGAAUACCGAUUGCGAAGGCGAUCUACUGGAACAAUAUUGACGCUGAGACGCGAAAGCGUGGGGAGCAAACAGGAUUAGAUACCCUGGUAGUCCACGCCCUAAACGAUGUACACUAGUUGUUGUGAGACUUGAUCUUGCAGUAAUGCAGUUAACACAUUAAGUGUACCGCCUGGGGAGUACGGUCGCAAGAUUAAAACUCAAAGGAAUAGACGGGGACCCGCACAAGCGGUGGAGCAUGUGGUUUAAUUCGACGAUACACGAAGAACCUUACCUGGACUUGACAUAGUAAGAACUUUCUAGAGAUAGAUUGGUGUCUGCUUGCAGAAACUUAUAUACAGGUGCUGCACGGCUGUCGUCAGCUCGUGUCGUGAGAUGUUGGGUUAAGUCCCGCAACGAGCGCAACCCUCGUGUUUAGUUGCUAACAGUUCGGCUGAGAACUCUAAACAGACUGCCUACGCAAGUAGGAGGAAGGUGAGGACGACGUCAAGUCAUCAUGGCCCUUACGUCCAGGGCUACACACGUGCUACAAUGGGAUAUACAAAGAGCGGCAAUACGGUGACGUGGAGCAAAUCUUAUAAAAUAUCUCCCAGUUCGGAUUGUAGUCUGCAACUCGACUACAUGAAGUUGGAAUCGCUAGUAAUCGUAGAUCAGCUAUGCUACGGUGAAUACGUUCCCGGGUCUUGUACUCACCGCCCGUCACACCAUGGGAGUUGAUUUCACCC
Molecule: ribosomal RNA, 988 nt
Filed under: marine sediment metagenome
Description: bacterial SSU rRNA
Rfam family: Bacterial small subunit ribosomal RNA
Source: RNAcentral